RNAcentral lists this ribosomal RNA (480 nucleotides) under uncultured cyanobacterium. RNAcentral's name for it is "bacterial SSU rRNA". It matches the Rfam family "Bacterial small subunit ribosomal RNA", at positions 375 to 871 of the family's 1533-position model. The record is from RNAcentral. Lineage: Bacteria; Bacillati; Cyanobacteriota.
AGGAAACUCUGACGCAGCAACACCGCGUGAGUGAUGACGCCCUUUGGGGUGUAAAGCUCUGUCAGUGGGGACGAAUUUUGACGGUACCCACAGAGGAAGCAUCGGCUAACUACGUGCCAGCAGCCGCGGUAAGACGUAGGAUGCAAGCGUUGUCCGGAAUCAUUGGGCGUAAAGCGUUCGUAGCGGCAUGUUAAGUUUGAUGUUAAAGCCCGGGGCUCAACUCCGGUUCGGCAUUGGAUACUGGCAAGCUAGAAUACGGUAGAGGCAAGGGGAAUUCCUGGUGUAGCGGUGAAAUGCGUAGAUAUCAGGAGGAACACCGGUGGCGAAAGCGCCUUGCUGGGCCGUUAUUGACGCUGAGGAACGAAAGCCAGGGGAGCGAAUGGGAUUAGAUACCCCAGUAGUCCUGGCCGUAAACGAUGGAUACUAGGUGUUGUGGGUAUCGACCCCUACAGUGCCGUAGUUAACGCGAUAAGUAUCCCG